RNAcentral lists this long non-coding RNA (1054 nucleotides) under Vigna radiata. Its description in RNAcentral is "long non-coding RNA (VRAD_LNC004678)". Lineage: Eukaryota; Viridiplantae; Streptophyta; Magnoliopsida; Fabales; Fabaceae. The record is from RNAcentral.
UAUUCUCACACUUUGCAUGGUUUCAUGAACUUCCUCCUUGGGAGCUUGUAGGGUUUCAUUUUCUUUGAGCUAUGGGAUGAACAAGAUCAUGUUUUUCUUCUUCUUUUGCUUCAUCCUUGAUUGUCUUUGCUUGGUGGUGGUGAAAACCCUUACAUAUCCCACUUUGUUUCUUGUUCUUUGAAGUUGAAAGUAUGAGCUUAAGGUUGUUUCUUUGCAUUUUCAUGAUGGGUCUUUGGUUUGGAUGAAGAGCUAUUUCGUUUUUCUACUCAUUUGCUGCCAUAUUUUCGUAUUUACUUUGGUUUUCUUGGAUUGGAUGAUGAAAAUGGAGUUCUAUGUGAGUUUUGGGUUGAAGAGAGCUUAAGGUGUUGUGUGGGUNGGUUUUCUUGGAUUGGAUGAUGAAAAUGGAGUUCUAUGUGAGUUUUGGGUUGAAGAGAGCUUAAGGUGUUGUGUGGGUGUUGUGGGUUUGGCUCUUUCCUUUCAUAUUUCGUUUUUGAUGUUUGAAACAAGGAAUGGACCAGAUUUUUGUGUUGUUAUGGUGGCUGGACAGAGCUGGAGUUGAUGGUUUAGGUUUUACUUUCGUUUUUGCAAAGAAAGUUGAAGAAAAGUAAGUGUUAGAAGUGGAUUGAUGAGUAGAAGUUUGUGUUUGUUGCUCUUGAAUCAUUUUGCAAUUGAAAGUUUGGGUUUCCUUGGUGCAUUCACGUUGUUGAUGGGUGAAGAAAGAGCAUUUUAAUGUUUGUGUUGGUGAAGAAAACGAAAAUGGUGAGUUGGAAAGGAGGAGAGAAGCUUCAUUUAAUUUUAACCACUUUUGGGCAAACAAAAAAGAUGUUUAUUUUCAUUCUAGGAAGAUUUCCAUUUUAAUCUUUGUCUCUUUGCUUGCAAUAGCCGAGACUUCCCUUGCAAUGGAGAAUGUUUUGUGUUUGCUUGCUUAUGUGGCACAAUGGUAGAAGAAGUUGAGCACCUUUUUGACUUGUGGACUUUUUAGAAGCAUUCUUUGCACCCAAGAAUUGUGUGGCUCGACAAUUUGGGUCUUGGUGUGUGUGAGUUACAUUUUUUU